Molecule: ribosomal RNA, 110 nt
Filed under: uncultured fungus
Lineage: Eukaryota; Fungi
Description: 5.8S ribosomal RNA
Rfam family: 5.8S ribosomal RNA
About the family: 5.8S ribosomal RNA (5.8S rRNA) is a component of the large subunit of the eukaryotic ribosome. It is transcribed by RNA polymerase I as part of the 45S precursor that also contains 18S and 28S rRNA.
Source: RNAcentral
AAAACUUUCAACAACGGAUCUCUUGGUUCUGGCAUCGAUGAAGAACGCAGCGAAAUGCGAUAAGUAAUGUGAAUUGCAGAAUUCAGUGAAUCAUCGAAUCUUUGAACGCA